UACAGAGGUCUCAAGCGUUGUUCGGAAUCACUGGGCGUAAAGGGUGCGUAGGCGGGUCUUUAAGUCAGGGGUGAAAUCCUGGAGCUCAACUCCAGAACUGCCUUUGAUACUGAAGAUCUUGAGUCCGGGAGAGGUGAGUGGAACUGCGAGUGUAGAGGUGAAAUUCGUAGAUAUUCGCAAGAACACCAGUGGCGAAGGCGGCUCACUGGCCCGGUACUGACGCUGAGGCACGAAAGCGUGGGGAGCAAACAGG
Molecule: ribosomal RNA, 253 nt
Filed under: uncultured bacterium
Lineage: Bacteria
Description: partial 16S ribosomal RNA
Rfam family: Bacterial small subunit ribosomal RNA
Source: RNAcentral